UACGUAGGGUGCGAGCGUUAAUCGGAAUCACUGGGCUUACAGGGUGCGUAGGCGGCUUAGCAAGUCAGGUGUGAAAGCCCCCGGCUCAACCGGGGAACUGCGCUUGAAACUGCUGAGCUCGAGUCAGCUAGAGGUACACGGAACUUCCAGUGGAGCGGUGAAAUGUGUUGAUAUUGGAAGGAACACCGGUGGCGAAGGCGGCAUCCUGGACCGGCAUUGACGCUGAGGAGCGAAAGCCAGGGGAGCAAACGGG
RNAcentral lists this ribosomal RNA (253 nucleotides) under uncultured bacterium. RNAcentral describes it as "partial 16S ribosomal RNA". It matches the Rfam family "Bacterial small subunit ribosomal RNA", at positions 524 to 776 of the family's 1533-position model. The record is from RNAcentral.